RNAcentral lists this long non-coding RNA (106 nucleotides) under Coturnix japonica (Japanese quail). Its description in RNAcentral is "lncRNA (ENSCJPG00005003522.1)". The record is from RNAcentral. Lineage: Eukaryota; Metazoa; Chordata; Aves; Galliformes; Phasianidae.
AUCUACUGCUAGAAGCAUGGAAUGUCUUAUAUUAUCCUACAAAGAAGGAAAUGCAUCUUGAGGGGGCAAGGAUUUGACAAGCACUCUCACAUAUACUGAGAUAACA